RNAcentral lists this ribosomal RNA (303 nucleotides) under uncultured bacterium. RNAcentral describes it as "partial 16S ribosomal RNA". It matches the Rfam family "Bacterial small subunit ribosomal RNA", at positions 507 to 809 of the family's 1533-position model. The record is from RNAcentral.
AGCAGUCGCCGCGGUAAUACGUAGGGUGCAAGCGUCAAUCGGAAUUACUGGGCGUAAAGCGUGCGCAGGCGGUUCUAUAAGACAGAUGUGAAAUCCCCGGGCUCAACCUGGGAACUGCAUUUGUGACUGUAGAGCUGGAGUGCGGCAGAGGGGGAUGGAAUUCCGCGUGUAGCAGUGAAAUGCGUAGAUAUGCGGAGGAACACCGAUGGCGAAGGCAAUCCCCUGGGCCUGCACUGACGCUCAUGCACGAAAGCGUGGGGAGCAAACAGGAUUAGAGACCCCAGUAGUCCCUGUCUCUUAUAA